AGCUCCAAUAGCGUAUAUUAAAGUUGUUGCAGUUAAAACGCUCGUAGUUGAAUUUCUGCACAAAUUUACGGCUUCGACUUCUUUUUUAGUUGUUGUUAAGCUUGUAUAUUUGUGUAUCUUCAUGUUGUUUAGUAUAUUCUGGUUGUUUAACUACAUCCAAGUAUACAUUACAUAAUGACAUGACAUUUACUUUGAGAAAAUUAGAGUGUUUCAAGCAGGUUUUUACUGCCUUGAAUACUUCAGCAUGGAAUAAUAAGAUAAGACUUUGGUUUUAUGUUAUUGGUUCAAAAACUAAAGUAAUGAUUAAUAGGGACAGUUGGGGGCAUUUGUACUUACCUGUCAGAGGUGAAAUUCUAUGAUUAGGGAAGGACAAACAACUGCGAAAGCAUUUGCCAAAGAU
RNAcentral lists this ribosomal RNA (400 nucleotides) under phytoplankton environmental sample. RNAcentral describes it as "partial small subunit ribosomal RNA". It matches the Rfam family "Eukaryotic small subunit ribosomal RNA", at positions 587 to 965 of the family's 1831-position model. The record is from RNAcentral.